RNAcentral lists this non-coding RNA (1904 nucleotides) under Pongo abelii (Sumatran orangutan). The record is from RNAcentral. Lineage: Eukaryota; Metazoa; Chordata; Mammalia; Primates; Hominidae.
UUGAAAUCAGUGGCUGGAGUAGUUGUGGGCCAGAAACAUCCUCCUCAGCCCAGGAGAAGUGGCAGCUGUUGUAUUUUAAUCACUGGGAGUCAAGAAGUUGUAGGGAUAAGAAAUGAGUGCAGCUGAGGGAUCAGCUGGAGGUCAGGGAUGGAGGAAAGACUGAGGGUGUGUGAGAUUCUGAAGUAGAGUGGUGAACAGGGGUGGGAUGGAUGUCAGGGAGAGGUGAGGGUAUCUGGAGGGUUUCCAAACAGCCAGGCCUUCAGGAUGGCCACAGCAAAACUUCCAGUUCUGAAUGGUUUUGUGGAAAGAACAUGGAACCUGGAUCUUGGAAGACAUGAAUUGAAAUUUCAGUUCAAGCAUUCUAUAGCCGUGAGACCUGGGGGAAUUGGGGCAAGUUAUUUCACAUCUUUGAUCUUCAAUUCUCUCAUCUUCAAAAGGAGACUAAAGAUACUAGGGUUAAGUGAGAAUUUAAAAAAUAAUGCAUAUAAUGCACUACAUAAAUAGAAUCUUCUUCCUUUCCCUUUCUCCUACUUGGAAAUGGCUGAGAGCAAAGAUGCAGUUCUUACUGCAUCCCAUGACCACAGAGUUCUAGGACUGCAGCCCUGGGCAAGAGGUUCCACCCUGGCUGCUGGAGUUUUCUGCAAUGAAGAACUUCAGUGAGUGUUCAGGGCAUGCCUGCAGAACCCUGGUCCUUCUGUUUGGACCAGCGCUCCAAAUUUGUAGGCCUUUGGGCCAUAAUUUAGAACCUAUUUCUAAAUUUUUGAAGGUCUUCUGUCUAGUCCUGAGGAUUUUAGUCUCAGAGAAUUAAAUUGUCUUACCCAGGGUCGGUCAUACAGCCUGCCAAAGCCUGGCCUGGAAUCCAGGUGCAAUGUUCAUCUGUGUUACCAGUUCCUCCAUGCUAACCUGACAGUGACUCACAAUUCCUUAUAGCACAGUGUUCCAAAGUCUGAGCCACAGACCACCUGUACUAGUAGCAGCAGGUGGGCUUGAUAAAAAUGCAGAUUCCUGUCUCCCUGCCAGCCCCGUGCAAUCAGAUUCUGUGAAGUUUAAAAGUAAUGACUUAUAAAUUUCCCAGACCCGGGUUAUACUUUUAUAUGGAAACAUAAUGCCUGAAUCUGACAGAGCGCUUUUUCAUGGAGGACAGUUGGGACUCUUGGGCAGACUUCUUGUUGCUUUCGUACUCUACAGGUGUUCCUGACCCUGGAACAAGAGGAUUUAUCUGACUCAACUGGAGAUGGCUCCCUUCCCUAAUUUAUUGUUGCAUCCUGAAGCUUCCCCCAUGCUGGGCUCGGUGUGAACAAACAGCGCGGGAGAAUGCAACCACUGCAGAGGCAUAUGUUUGAGAUGCCUGGCCACUGGAGGUCAUCUCGUCUGCUAUGUUCACCACAGAUAAAUAAUGAAAAGAGAAUACACAACCUUGUGAUUGCUAGCAGUGAAAGCUCAGAGUUAUGACAUAACAGAAUUGGCUCUUGUGACCAUGGAGGCUGAGAUGUCCCAAAAGCUGGAUACCCAGGAGAAGCAAAGGGUACAAAUUGAUCUGACUUGAUUUGUCAGAGAGCCAGAACUGCAGGCAAAUAGACGCCAGAGAAAUCAACCAAUCUUUUAAGCCAGCAGUAAUUGUUCCUCCUGUUGGCUAGCUAAAUGACUUGUAUCUGGAGGAGAUGCUCAGAAUGAAUCAGAAUGCUUGAGGUGACAGAAACACAGAGCAUUCCAAAGUGGGCUGUAACAGAAGUGAUUGAUCAUACUGUAAAACUCAAAUGUGAAGGGAAGGCUGGAACCUACUGGAAACUGAAGACCUAACGCAAAGAAGGAACUUUUAGGAACUAGCAGAGACUUCAAAAUGUUGAGAACUCUCUUUUUUCAUAAGAGAAGAUAAAAACUCUGAUGGUCACACUCAUAAAGAC